GUUUUGAUAGCAAGUUGAGUGAAUAUACUAUAUUUAAGUCAUUUUCAACAUUACCAACAUUAUUAAGGAAAUAGAGGAAUUAACCAUCAUGUUUUAUGUACUGUCUACAGAGGAGGUCACAAUAGAGAGGAUGUAGUCUGUCUUCAUGUUCUAGUACCCAUAAUGCAUCAUAUUUUAUCUUCUGUCUUCAGACAAGGUCACAAGAGAGAGGGAUGAACUCAAAGAAGAACUGAUUGAACUCAAAGAAGAACUGAGGAAAGCUAAAGAGACCAUCCAAUCCCUCUCCACCUCUCCAGGAGGUCAACAGGAAACACAGACUCCUUCCCAAAAGUCUGAGACAACUGAAGGGAUGGAGAUGAAGUCUUUACCAGGGAGGAAGUCUGUUCCUGGUUCAGGGUCUUUACCUGAGAAGAGGCCUUUACUGGGUCCUGGACCACAGAAUGAUGAUCUGGAUGAGAUGGAGAGGGGAGGAAGAGUUACUACAGACAAUAACUCUAUGCUAUAGGGUUACUAUAGAGAGACAAUAACUAUAGAGCUAUAGGGUUACUAUAGAGAGACUAUAACUAUAGAGAGACUAUAACUAUAUGCUAUAGGGUUACUAUAGAGAGACAAUAACUAUAGAGCUAUAGGGUUACUAUAGAGAGACUAUAACUAUAGAGAGACUAUAACUAUAUGCUAUAGGGUUACUAUAGAGAGACUAUAACUAUAGAGAGACUAUAACUAUAUGCUAUAGGGUUACUAUAGAGAGACAAUAACUAUAUGCUAUAGGGUUACUAUAGAGAGACUAUAACUAUAGAGAGACUAUAACUAUAGAGAGACUAUAACUAUAUGCUAUAGGGUUACUAUAGAGAGACUAUAACUAUAUGCUAUAGGGUUACUAUAGAGACUAUAACUAUAGAGCUGGGUUACUAUAGAGAGACUAUAACUAUAGAGCUGGGUUACUAUAGAGAGACUAUACCUUUCUAUAGAGACCUGUCCCACCUAACAAAGCUGAGUUUCUGAGUAUAUAACUGAGUGAUAUGAAUCUUGGUAAGACAAAGUUAUCUGAUAAACGUGUUAGUCAGUUCUCUAUAAUCCACUUCCAGUAGUUAGUUCUUUACUUUUUGAAGUUUCACUACCCAUGUCUGUGUUAUGGGUUUAUAU
Oncorhynchus nerka (sockeye salmon) is the source of this 1143-nucleotide long non-coding RNA. RefSeq lists it as uncharacterized. NCBI's taxonomy places the organism in Eukaryota, Metazoa, Chordata, Actinopteri, Salmoniformes, Salmonidae. The transcript is spliced from 5 exons. The record is from RefSeq and is a predicted model, not a curated record.